RNAcentral lists this ribosomal RNA (484 nucleotides) under uncultured bacterium. Its description in RNAcentral is "partial 16S ribosomal RNA". It matches the Rfam family "Bacterial small subunit ribosomal RNA", at positions 30 to 507 of the family's 1533-position model. The record is from RNAcentral.
AUUGAACGCUGGCGGCAGGCCUAACACAUGCAAGUCGAGCGGAUGAAGGGGGCUUGCUCCUGGAUUCAGCGGCGGACGGGUGAGUAAUGCCUAGGAAUCUGCCUGGUAGUGGGGGAUAACGUCCGGAAACGGGCGCUAAUACCGCAUACGUCCUGAGGGAGAAAGUGGGGGAUCUUCGGACCUCACGCUAUCAGAUGAGCCUAGGUCGGAUUAGCUAGUUGGUGGGGUAAAGGCCUACCAAGGCGACGAUCCGUAACUGGUCUGAGAGGAUGAUCAGUCACACUGGAACUGAGACACGGUCCAGACUCCUACGGGAGGCAGCAGUGGGGAAUAUUGGACAAUGGGCGAAAGCCUGAUUCAGCCAUGCCGCGUGUGUGAAGAAGGUCUUCGGAUUGUAAAGCACUUUAAGUUGGGAGGAAGGGCAGUAAGUUAAUACCUUGCUGUUUUGACGUUACCAACAGAAUAAGCACCGGCUAACUUCGUG